GACAGAGGGUGCAAACGUUGUUCGGAAUUACUGGGCGUAAAGCGUGUGUAGGCUGCCCUGCAAGUCGGAUGUGAAAGCCCUGGGCUCAACCUGGGAAGUGCAUUCGAAACUGCGGGGCUGGAGUCCUGGAGAGGAAGGCGGAAUUCUCGGUGUAGAGGUGAAAUGUGUUGAGAUUGGAAGGAACGCCAGUGGCGAAAGCGGCAUGCUGGAUCUCUACUGACGCUGAGGCGCGAAAGCUAGGGGAGCGAACGGG
RNAcentral lists this ribosomal RNA (253 nucleotides) under uncultured bacterium. Its description in RNAcentral is "partial 16S ribosomal RNA". It matches the Rfam family "Bacterial small subunit ribosomal RNA", at positions 524 to 776 of the family's 1533-position model. The record is from RNAcentral.